GACGAACGCUGGCGGCGUGCUUAACACAUGCAAGUCGAACGGAAAGGCCCUGCUUUUGUGGGGUGCUCGAGUGGCGAACGGGUGAGUAACACGUGAGUAACCUGCCCUUGACUUUGGGAUAACUUCAGGAAACUGGGGCUAAUACCGGAUAGGAGCUCCUGCUGCAUGGUGGGGGUUGGAAAGUUUCGGCGGUUGGGGAUGGACUCGCGGCUUAUCAGCUUGUUGGUGGGGUAGUGGCUUACCAAGGCUUUGACGGGUAGCCGGCCUGAGAGGGUGACCGGCCACAUUGGGACUGAGAUACGGCCCAGACUCCUACGGGAGGCCGCAGUGGGGAAUAUUGCACAAUGGGCGGAAGCCUGAUGCAGCAACGCCGCGUGCGGGAUGACGGCCUUCGGGUUGUAAACCGCUUUCGCCUGUGACGAAGCGUGAGUGACGGUAAUGGGUAAAGAAGCACCGGCUAACUACGUG
This 468-nucleotide ribosomal RNA is filed under the name uncultured bacterium. Its description in RNAcentral is "partial 16S ribosomal RNA". It matches the Rfam family "Bacterial small subunit ribosomal RNA", at positions 28 to 507 of the family's 1533-position model. The record is from RNAcentral.